GUGGGCCUACGGGGCGCAGCAGUGAGGAAUAUUGGUCAAUGGGCGGAAGCCUGAACCAGCCACGUCGCGUGAGGGAAUAAGGCCCUACGGGUCGUAACCCUCUUUUGCCGGGGAGCAAGGGCGCGGACGUGUCCCGGCCCGGAGAGUACCCGGAGAAAAAGCAUCGGCUAACUCCGUGCCCGCAGCCGCGGUAAUACGGAGGAUGCGCGCUUUAUCCGGAUUUUUUGGGUUUAAAGGGCGCGUAGGCGGGCUUUUAAGUCAGCGGUAAAAAUUCGGGGCUCAACCCCGUCCGGCCGUUGACACUG
RNAcentral lists this ribosomal RNA (305 nucleotides) under uncultured bacterium. RNAcentral's name for it is "bacterial SSU rRNA". It matches the Rfam family "Bacterial small subunit ribosomal RNA", at positions 333 to 635 of the family's 1533-position model. The record is from RNAcentral.